UUCAAUGUUCACUCUCUCCAACAACUUCCUGCAGAAACAAAAGAGAGAAAUUUACAGAAAAAAAGGGUUUCCAUUCUUCUGUCUUUCUUUCUUUCUCCUUCUUUCUUCUUCUUCUUCUUCUUCUUCUUUACCAAAUUCAGUUUGACAAAGACAGACAUUGUGGCUAAGCUCAAGGAAUACGUUAUGGCUGCCGAUGACUCUGAACCUGACCAACCACCCCCUCAAAACGACGUCGCUCCCAUUUCUCUUCCUCACAAGAUUUCAGAUUCUUCUGAGAAAAUUGAUGCUGCAAAGGACAGAGAUAUUGCAUUGGCUCGGGUCGAAUGGGAGAAGAAGAUGGCAUUGAUAAAGGCAUGGGAGGAGAGUGAAAAGAUCAAAGCAGAGAACAAGGCAUACAAAAGGCUUUCUGCAGUUGAAUCUUGGGAGAAUACCAGAAAGGCUUCCAUAGAAGCGCAACUGAUGAAGAUAGAGGAAAAAAUGGAGAAGAAGAAAGCAGAGUAUGCUGAGCAAAUGAAGAACAAAAUCGUUGGAAUUCACAAGGAAGGUGAAGAGAAGAAGCAACCAUUGAAGCAGAACGAAAAGAACAUUGCCUCAAGGUUGAGGAAACGGCAGAAAAAUAUCGUACUUCAGGGUUCAUACCAAAGACUCUACUCAAAUGCUUCAGUGGUUGAAAUGCUGAGGGGUUAUAAAAACAGAUUCCUAUCUCAGAUUUGUACUUUGAUUUUAGUCUUUGUUUGGUAUUAUAUUGAAUUAGGAGAUGAACACUUUAGUGUUCUUUUUUAUGUAUAAAGAUUGUAUCAGUUUGCUGUAUUUUACCCAAUGAUCACUUAUGUCAUAUGCACUGAUUCAGUUAAAAAUGGUAGUGUUAAUCAUUCUGGA
RNA transcript from Cucumis sativus (cucumber), 879 nucleotides. It is a transcript of the gene named remorin 1.4, with no coding region annotated. NCBI's taxonomy places the organism in Eukaryota, Viridiplantae, Streptophyta, Magnoliopsida, Cucurbitales, Cucurbitaceae. The record is from RefSeq and is a predicted model, not a curated record. The transcript has 5 exons.